UAACCAGUGUGGGGGAAUUUAGGUUUAGCUUUUCCAUUGGAAGCAAAUCCUUGCAGGGGGAGGUGGGGAUGGCCAAGGGCCAGCCUGGAAGGGCCCCUCAAGCUCAGCUGGUGUGUGGGAUGGAGCCCUGACGAUGCUCUGCAGGACUGAGGCGCUUCCAAGGAGACCUCCAUCCAUCCAGGCCUUGCUUUAGGAGUGUCGUCAUAUCCUGGUCUGGAGGCCGCCUCAGCACUCCUGGUACCUGAUGGGAUUCAAUGUGACCGGAGGAUUUUGGUUUGUCUGCAUCUGGAACAAACUUCCCUGGGGAAGGAGCUCUGUUCCUGACGUGGCAGGAGGUCUCCAAAGUGAACAUCUCCUGAGCUGCGGGGUUGAUUUUGGCCUGGGAUCUCUGCCUCUCCGUGGGCGCGCUCUGCAGCACCGCUGGAAAUCUUCUUCCAGAGGAUGGAUGUGGUUCAAGCAGAUGAUAAAUCGUGGUUUCCUCGCCUUGCCCUUAACCCAGUCACAAAGGGGAUUAUCAUCCGCAGGGUGAGAGGCGUCUGGAGUCCAGUCCCUGCCUUGCCUCGGGGUGAUUAUUUCCAAUCUCAGCGAAGCUCUUUCCUCCUUUGCCUCGUGGAGGAAAUUCAUUAUCUGGAGCUGGAGCGCUCGCACAGCUACAAACCAAUCCCACCUUCUCCGUGCCUGUGUCACCUGGAGCCGGGCCGGGGGAGCUGGUGAGAGCCUGGGCACUCACACGUCAGGGCUGUCCCCACUGGGCAAUGUUGCAUGAUUAAUAACAACCCCAGGUUAAUGGGGUUUUAAUGUUCCUCCAGCAGCGGAGGGAGGGGGUGGUGUCCUCAGCUCCGAGCAGGGGCUUUGAUCUUUGUUUUAGGGAGGGAUGGAGGUGUCUUUGUGCUUGGUGCUGGCUGUGUGUCUGUGGACACCACGGCAUGUGAGGGUUGAAGGGGACAGGCAGAGCCAGAUGUGCUCCAGGGUUGGGAACUGGAGUGUUCGUGGUGUGGGGGUGUGAUGGACACAAGUGUUAAAUACUGUCCCCAGUGAUCUCAUGGGGAUCCCAGUGCACAGUGGGGGCUGCACAGACCAUGGCAUGGCAGCAGGGCCCAUCAUUAUGCUAUUUCCAGAAAAGAGGGGCUCCCUGCACUUGUGGAUUUAGCAGGGAAAAGGCUUUCUGAAUUCUUCCUAGGAGGGGACGGACCCACUUUGUGCAUGAAGGGGCAUCAGGGCUGGGAAAAGGGGCCUGUGGUCCAUCCCUCUGUGCCCCUGGGGUCCUGGUCACAGACUGUGUCAUGGUCCCUGCUCCUGAGAACAGUCCUGCAGGAACUUGCUUGCAGGGGAUGGACACAGAAAAAUACACCCCCUUCCCCAUCCUUUCUUUGCCACAAGAAAGAAAAGCUGGCUGCCUGUUAAUUACAUGAACCUUCUCAUGGGCAAUUGAGCUGGCUGUGUGUGUGUAUUCAUGCUGCCCGCGAGUUCUUGUCUGGUUUGUGCUCACAGGUGACUGAAGUGAAGCCAAAUUUUGCAACAAAGCAGGGCACUGCUGGCCGUGUCCAGCUGCACCCAGGCCCUGUCCACACAGCAAGGCAGCAUCUCUUUCUCCCAGGGCAGAAAUAGUGCCACCUCUAUCCCAAACUCAUUUUUUUUUGUCCUGUGGUGACUUGUCCCCAUGGUCAAGAUGUUACAGUGCCCCAGAGCUGUUGGCAUCCCUCUGCUUGUUACUUCCUCUCCCUAAACUUUGGUAAGGGAGGGUCCUUCAGACUGAGCUUGGGCAGAAGGACAUGGUCCUUCCCUGGUGAGGAUGUGGCCCCUUCCCCUUACUGUAGGUGAAGGAGGCUGGUGCUUCGGGAAGGGGAUGGAUUAUAAUGUCAAGGGGGGGUAGGAAAGAGGGUACUUGGUGUGGGGAUCCUGCUGCUGCUCCACAUUUCCUGGAUCUACAAGUGGAGCCCAGCAAUGAGCCACCGUGCUGGCUGGGGACUGUCCUCUGGUGGCAGUGCCAGCUUUGGGACUGUCCUAUGUGCACAGAGGAGGAGCUGGAAGCCCAGGGAGAUGCUGGUUCCUGGCUCUGUGGGAUGUGCGUUUGAGAUGCUCCUCAAGGACCUUUCCCUCUCGCUGGAGCUUACUGGGAAUGUUGGCCAACAGGGCACCCAAAUCCCUCCUGCACAUUCCACAGGGCACAGGUAAGAGUGCUGGCCACCUCUGUGUGUCUAUCCUGGCACCAUUUUGGCCCAUGCCAACCAGCACCCUCCCAGUCAGUGUCUGGAAACAAAUGAGGGUCAGCCCAGGACACAUGAAGGGAUGUGCCACAGACUUCCAGGACUCUGCAACUCGUCUCCUUCCUGCCAGAUUGACUCCAGCCUCUCCGAUGCUGAGUUUCCAGGCCUUCAUUUCCAGCACUCAUUGCUAUUCAUCAGUGCAUCUGAAUAUUUUAAUCCUUGGGGAGUGGAGACUGUAGAACAGCAUCCCCCCCCUCUCCCAGCCACCUUCCCUUGCUUAUCUGCUGCAACCAGGGCCAAACUGUUCCCAGGCCUCGGUGGGUGAGACAAAUCGUAGAAAAAGCUUAAAGCAAGACCAGCAUCUCCCACCUUGUGCUUGGAGGGGGCUGGGGAAGAAGAGGAGGGAGGGGGUGAGGGAAGCAGCUUGUAAUUACAGAGUAAGAGGCAGCGAUAAAAUGAUAAUGGAAGAGUUCUGACCCGGCUGAGCCAGUUCUGCAAAGCUGUGAAAUAAAUUUAGCAAAAGAGCGAGGGCACGGGGGCUCCCAGGCUGGGUUACAGCUGAAAUGCUGGUUUCACAAACAACACGUAAAUUGGAUUGCAAACAUCUAAUUAACCUCUUUGCUUAUUUUUUGGUGGGAAAGGCGACAGAUUCCAGCUAAAGCUGACACUGUGGUGAGAUAUCCCUUUGCAGGAGAGAAUCUGGAGGAGAGGAGAGGAAAGCGAUUCGGUGAUUUCACCUGCUGGCUCCCUCCUUGCUGCCCAGGCACCAGGGAGAGGAAAAUCUCAAGCUCUUCUGGCUCCCCUGCCUUGUGGUAGAAGCUGUGUAUGAUGUCUGUGAAAACAGAGAGGAGAAGGUGCUGAUGGAGUUUCUUCCCGUGUUUCUUUGUUCUUCAUCUCACUUGGAGUUCCCCACUUCCAGGGGGACAGGGAUUGGGAUCUCCCAUGGCCUGAGCUGGCUCUCCUUGGCUGCUGCUUUGCUCUGUGCCGGGGCUACUGACUCUUUUGGAUUUGACCCAAUCUCUUUGGAGAGCAGAGGUUUAAUAUGAACACCCAGUUGUGUGGUCCCUGAGGAUUUGCACUGCUAACCUGGAGGAAGGUCCUCACAGGAGCCCAUGGAGCCUUCAGCUCUUUCCCUUUCUGAAAUAUUGUGAAAACUCUUCAAGAAUUAGGCUUGGUCAAUGAAAAGUCGCUGCUGUGAGGAGUGAGAUCUCCUUACCCAGGUUUGAUCAAACCCCCUGGGAGGGACCAGGGCAGGACAGAGACCUUUCCUUCACCACUGAUCCCUCAGAGCAGACAACAGCUCUGUGCAAGGUGACAGCAGAGGGAAUGUGCCUGGGCAGAGGGUCCUGUGGAAGCUGGGGAGAUGCCCUGGUUGUGCUCUGUGCCAGCAGGAUUGGGGCACCACAAGGAUGAGGCUGGAUGCACGUGCUGUGUUCUGUCCAGGGAGGUUCUACUUUGCUGCCUCAGAAAUGAGGGAAGCAGACGGUCACGUCACGUGGGAGCAAGCAGGAAAGCAAGAAACAGCCUGGUCUGGGAUAAAAGUGGCUCUGCUGGAGCAACUUUUCCAUGGGGGAUGCUUUUCCAACCUCUGGAUGGGAAGGUGAUGUUGCAGCUGGUGAGAUGAUGACACCACAUGGUGAGGCUGGUCUGGAAACAAGCAGCAGGUUUGGGUGGGUUUGGGCUCACUGCACAUGGGGGAAAGGGAAAAC
This is a long non-coding RNA of Pipra filicauda (Wire-tailed manakin), 3916 nucleotides long. RefSeq lists it as uncharacterized. The record is from RefSeq and is a predicted model, not a curated record. NCBI's taxonomy places the organism in Eukaryota, Metazoa, Chordata, Aves, Passeriformes, Pipridae. The transcript has 4 exons.